GAUGAACGCUGGCGGCGUGCCUAAUACAUGCAAGUCGAGCGAACGGACGAGAAGCUUGCUUCUCUGAUGUUAGCGGCGGACGGGUGAGUAACACGUGGAUAACCUACCUAUAAGACUGGGAUAACUUCGGGAAACCGGAGCUAAUACCGGAUAAUAUUUUGAAACGCAUGGUUCAAAAGUGAAAGACGGUCUUGCUGUCACUUAUAGAUGGAUCCGCGCUGCAUUAGCUAGUUGGUAAGGUAACGGCUUAGCAAGGCAACGAUGCAUAGCCGACCUGAGAGGGUGAUCGGCCACACUGGAACUGAGACACGGUCCAGACUCCUACGGGAGGCAGCAGUAGGGAAUCUUCCGCAAUGGGCGAAAGCCUGACGGAGCAACGCCGCGUGAGUGAUGAAGGUCUUCGGAUCGUAAAACUCUGUUAUUAGGGAAGAACAUAUGUGUAAGUAACUGUGCACAUCUUGACGGUACCUAAUCAGAAAGCCACGGCUAACUACGUG
Molecule: ribosomal RNA, 497 nt
Filed under: uncultured bacterium
Lineage: Bacteria
Description: partial 16S ribosomal RNA
Rfam family: Bacterial small subunit ribosomal RNA
Source: RNAcentral